AACGACAGAAAGAACUUAGAGCUAAUACGCAAAGUCGGGGAUCAUAAAAACGGACCGAAAGAACUCAGAGCUAAUACGCAAAGUCGGGGAUCAUAAAAACGUACCGAAAGAACUUAGAGCUAAUACGAAAAGUCGGGGAUCAUAAAAACGGCCCGAAAGAACUUACAGCUAAUACUCAAACUCGGGGAUCAUAAAAACAGACCGAAAGAACUUAGAGCUAAUACGCAAAGUGGGGGAUCAUAAAAACGGACCCAAAGAACUUAGUGCUAAUACGCAAAGUCGGGGAUCAUAAAAAAGGACCAAAAGAACUUAGAGCUAAUACGUAAAGUCGGGUAUCAUACAAAGGACCAAUAGAACUUAGAGCUAAUAUGAAAAGUUGGGGAUCAUAAAACGACCGAAAGAACUUAAAGCUAAUACGCAAAGUCGGGGAUCAUAAAAACAGACGUGGAAUUUAGAGCUAAUAUUCAAAGUCGUGGAUCAUAAAAACAGACCGAAAGAACUUAGAACUAAUACGUAAAGUCGGGGAUCAUAAAAAUGGACCGAAAGAACUUAGAGCUAAUACGCAAAGUCCGGGAUCAUAAAAACGGACCAAAAGAACUUGGAGCUAAUACGUAAAGUCGGGGAUCAUAAAAGCGGACCGAAAGAAUUUAGAGCUAAUACGCAAAGUCGGGGAUCAUAAAAAGGGACCGAAACAUCUUAGAGCAAAUACGCAAAGUCAGGGAACAUAAAAAGGGACUGAAAGAACUUAGAGCUAAUACGCAAAGUCGGGGAUCAUAAAAAGGGACCGAAAGAACUUAGACCUAAUACGCAAAGUCAGGGAUCAUAAAAACCGACCGAAAGAACUUAGAGCUAAUAUGCAAAGUCGGGGAUCAUAAAAAGGGACCGAAAUAACUUAGAGCUAAUACGCAAAGUCGGGGAUCAUAAAAAGGGACCGAAAGAACUUAGAGCUAAUAUGCAAAGUCGGGGAUCAUAAAAACGGACCGAAAGAACUUAGUGCUAAUACGCAAAGUCAGGGAUCAUAAAAACCGACCGAAAGAACUUAGAGCUAAUACGCAAAGUCGGGGAUCAUAAAAACCGACUAAAAGAACUUAGAGGUAAUACGGAAAGUCGGGGAUCAUAAAAACGGACCGAAAGAACUUAGAGCUAAUACGCAAAUUCGGGGGAUCAUAAAAACGGACCGAAAGAACUAAGAGCUAAUACGCAAAGUCGGGGAUCAUAAAAACGGACCAAAAGAACUUAGAGCUAAUACGCAAAGUCGGGGAUCAUAAAAACCGACCGAAAGAACUUAGAGCUAAUACGCAAAGUCGGGGAUCAUAAAAAUGACCGAAAGAACUUAGAGCUAAUACGUAAAGU
RNAcentral lists this long non-coding RNA (1353 nucleotides) under Capsella rubella. RNAcentral's name for it is "long non-coding RNA (CRUB_LNC000117)". Lineage: Eukaryota; Viridiplantae; Streptophyta; Magnoliopsida; Brassicales; Brassicaceae. The record is from RNAcentral.